Molecule: ribosomal RNA, 320 nt
Filed under: uncultured Chloroflexota bacterium
Lineage: Bacteria; Bacillati; Chloroflexota
Description: bacterial SSU rRNA
Rfam family: Bacterial small subunit ribosomal RNA
Source: RNAcentral
GAUGAACGCUGGCGGCGUGCUUAAUACAUGCAAGUCGAACGGAAAGUGUAGCAAUAUACUUUUAGUGGCGAACGGGUGAGUAACGCGUUGGUGACCUACCCCGAAGUGGGGGAUACCAGUUCGAAAGGACUGCUAAUACCCCAUGUGGUCAUGAGGAUUAGAUGCUUUAUGACUAAAGGCGUAAUCCGCUUCGGGAGGGGCCUGCGUCCCAUCAGCUUGUUGGUAGGGUAAUGGCCUACCAAGGCGACGACGGGUAGGGGACCUGAGAGGGUGACCCCCCACACUGGCACUGAAACACGGGCCAGACACCUACGUGGCAG